AAUGUUAUGUCUGAUUAAAGUAAUAAAUUGUAAAUGAUAUAUAUAUAGAGAU
This 52-nucleotide transfer RNA is filed under the name Atta sexdens rubropilosa. RNAcentral's name for it is "tRNA-Tyr". The record is from RNAcentral. Lineage: Eukaryota; Metazoa; Arthropoda; Insecta; Hymenoptera; Formicidae.